CGCUUUAGCCGCCCGAGUUUCAAGUUUAUUAUUUACUAGAUUUUGCCCGUGGUUUCGCCCGCGUGAUUUCCCACGGGAGCAGUUAUUUUUUCGGGAUGAAAGGUGUCCUUAUGUCCUUCUCCGUACAAAAUUUCAAAAAAGAAAGUACUUCCAAGUGGUACCGUGGAUUGGAGGGCUCCCAUGUGCAUGUUUGGCGUCUCCUUCAAAGACAAAUAUAAGAAUAACACGCUUGUUAUUUCAAGAUGGGUAACGGUUCGAGAAUUCCAUAUGAGAAAAAUCAUGGCUGACAAACACAAAGGAAUGGACUCGAUGCCUCAUCAGCAAAGUUAAACAUCUUCGAUUGGCGAUGGACAGAGAUGGGUUUUUGACUUUUAUCUACAGUUUUUAAGAAUCUGACGACCGACCUUCAAUAAUGGAGAGGCACUGCACGAAGAAGAUAUUUCAAACACUAAAAAUAUGUACUUGUAGAUAUUUUGAAUGACAAAUUUAAUAAUAUUUUUCAGCCACUAUACCCUAUAUAAGGACAAAUCAUACUGAUUGAGCUAGCCCUAAAAAAACUUUACGUUAUGGGGUACUAACACAAAGAUACUAUAUUUUAUAACAAAUACAUUACUUUAACACUGU
Long non-coding RNA from Plodia interpunctella (Indianmeal moth), 624 nucleotides. RefSeq lists it as uncharacterized. Lineage: Eukaryota; Metazoa; Arthropoda; Insecta; Lepidoptera; Pyralidae. The transcript is spliced from 3 exons. The record is from RefSeq and is a predicted model, not a curated record.